RNAcentral lists this ribosomal RNA (1016 nucleotides) under uncultured bacterium. Its description in RNAcentral is "bacterial SSU rRNA". It matches the Rfam family "Bacterial small subunit ribosomal RNA", at positions 357 to 1376 of the family's 1533-position model. The record is from RNAcentral.
AGGAAUAUUGGUCAAUGGGCGUAAGCCUGAACCAGCCAAGUAGCGUGAGGGAAGACUGCCCUAUGGGUUGUAAACCUCUUUUGUGCGGGGAUAAAGUGUGGGACGUGUCCCAUAUUGCAGGUACCGCACGAAUAAGGACCGGCUAAUUCCGUGCCAGCAGCCGCGGUAAUACGGAAGGUCCGGGCGUUAUCCGGAUUUAUUGGGUUUAAAGGGAGCGCAGACGGGGGAUUAAGUCAGUUGUGAAAGUUUGCGGCUCAACCGUAAAAUUGCAGUUGAUACUGGUUCCCUUGAGUGCAGUUGAGGCAGGCGGAAUUCGUGGUGUAGCGGUGAAAUGCAUAGAUAUCACGAAGAACCCCGAUUGCGAAGGCAGCCUGCUAAGCUGUAACUGACGUUGAGGCUCGAAAGUGUGGGUAUCAAACAGGAUUAGAUACCCUGGUAGUCCACACGGUAAACGAUGGAUACUCGCUGUUGGCGAUAUACUGUCAGCGGCCAAGCGAAAGCAUUAAGUAUCCCACCUGGGGAGUACGCCGGCAACGGUGAAACUCAAAGGAAUUGACGGGGGCCCGCACAAGCGGAGGAACAUGUGGUUUAAUUCGAUGAUACGCGAGGAACCUUACCCGGGCUUAAAUUGCAGACGAAUUACUUGGAAACAGGUAAGCCGCAAGGCGUCUGUGAAGGUGCUGCAUGGUUGUCGUCAGCUCGUGCCGUGAGGUGUCGGCUUAAGUGCCAUAACGAGCGCAACCCUCGUGGCCAGUUACUAGCAGGUAACGCUGAGGACUCUGGCCAGACUGCCAUCGCAAGAUGCGAGGAAGGUGGGGAUGACGUCAAAUCAGCACGGCCCUUACGUCCGGGGCUACACACGUGUUACAAUGGGAGGUACAGAAGGCAGCUACCCGGCGACGGGAUGCCAAUCUCCAAAGCCUCUCUCAGUUCGGACUGGAGUCUGCAACCCGACUCCACGAAGCUGGAUUCGCUAGUAAUCGCGCAUCAGCCACGGCGCGGUGAAUACGUUCCCG